UACGUAGGGUGCGAGCGUUGUCCGGAAUUACUGGGCGUAAAGAGUUCGUAGGUGGUUUGUCGCGUUGUUCGUGAAAACUCACAGCUUAACUGUGGGCGUGCGGGCGAUACGGGCAGACUGGAGUACUGCAGGGGAGACUGGAAUUCCUGGUGUAGCGGUGGAAUGCGCAGAUAUCAGGAGGAACACCGGUGGCGAAGGCGGGUCUCUGGGCAGUAACUGACGCUGAGGAGCGAAAGCGUGGGGAGCGAACAGG
Molecule: ribosomal RNA, 253 nt
Filed under: uncultured bacterium
Lineage: Bacteria
Description: partial 16S ribosomal RNA
Rfam family: Bacterial small subunit ribosomal RNA
Source: RNAcentral